UGAACUUUAACCCGAAGAGGGGACACAC
RNAcentral lists this non-coding RNA (28 nucleotides) under Cricetulus griseus (Chinese hamster). Lineage: Eukaryota; Metazoa; Chordata; Mammalia; Rodentia; Cricetidae. The record is from RNAcentral.